This 539-nucleotide ribosomal RNA is filed under the name uncultured archaeon. RNAcentral's name for it is "bacterial SSU rRNA". It matches the Rfam family "Archaeal small subunit ribosomal RNA", at positions 460 to 997 of the family's 1478-position model. The record is from RNAcentral.
AGCCGCCGCGGGAACACCGGCGGCCCGAGUGGUGAUCGUGAUUAUUGGGUCUAAAGGGUCCGUAGCCGGUUUGGUCAGUCCUCCGGGAAAUCUGAUAGCUCAACUAUUAGGCUUUCGGGGGAUACUGCCAGACUUGGAACCGGGAGAGGUAAGAGGUACUACAGGGGUAGGAGUGAAAUCUUGUAAUCCCUGUGGGACCACCUGUGGCGAAGGCGUCUUACCAGAACGGGUUCGACGGUGAGGGACGAAAGCUGGGGGCACGAACCGGAUUAGAUACCCGGGUAGUCCCAGCCGUAAACGAUGCUCGCUAGGUGUCAGGCAUGGCGCGACCGUGUCUGGUGCCGCAGGGAAGCCGUGAAGCGAGCCACCUGGGGAGUACGGCCGCAAGGCUGAAACUUAAAGGAAUUGGCGGGGGAGCACAACAACGGGUGGAGCCCUGCGGUUUAAUUGGACUCAACGCCGGACAACUCACCGGGGGCGACAGCAAUAUGUAGGCCAAGCUGAAGACUUUGCCUGAAUCGCUGAGAAGAGGUGCAUGG